GGACCCGCACAAGUAGUGGAGCAUGUGGUUUAAUUCGAAGAUACGCGCAGAACCUUACCAACACUUGACAUGUUCGUCGCGACUCUAAGAGAUUAGAGUUUUCGGUUCGGCCGGACGAAACACAGGUGCUGCAUGGCUGUCGUCAGCUCGUGUCGUGAGAUGUUGGGUUAAGUCCCGCAACGAGCGCAACCCUCACUUUUAGUUGCCAUCAUUUAGUUGGGCACUCUGAAAGAACUGCCAGUGAUAAGCUGGAGGAAGGUGGGGAUGACGUCAAGUCCUCAUGGCCCUUACGUGUUGGGCUACACACGUGCUACAAUGGUAUUUACAACAGGAAGCAAGACGGCGACGUUAAGCAAAUCCUUAAAAAAUACCUCAGUUCGGAUUGCACUCUGCAACUCGAGUGCAUGAAGCUGGAAUUACUAGUAAUCGUGGAUC
This 435-nucleotide ribosomal RNA is filed under the name uncultured bacterium. Its description in RNAcentral is "bacterial SSU rRNA". It matches the Rfam family "Bacterial small subunit ribosomal RNA", at positions 917 to 1350 of the family's 1533-position model. The record is from RNAcentral.